GAUGAACGCUGGCGGCGUGCCUAAUACAUGCAAGUCGAGCGAACAGACGAGGCGCUUGCUCCUCUGACGUUAGCGGCGGACGGGUGAGUAACACGUGGAUAACCUACCUAUAAGACUGGGAUAACUUCGGGAAACCGGAGCUAAUCCCGGAUAAUAUAUUGAACCGCAUGGUUCAAUAGUGAAAGACGGUUUUGCUGUCACUUAUAGAUGGAUCCGCGCCGCAUUAGCUAGUUGGUAAGGUAACGGCUUACCAAGGCGACGAUGCGUAGCCGACCUGAGAGGGUGAUCGGCCACACGGGAACUGAGACACGGUCCAGACUCCUACGGGAGGCAGCAGUAGGGAAUCUUCCGCAGUGGGCGAAAGCCUGACGGAGCAACGCCGCGUGAGUGAUGAAGGUCUUCGGAUCGUAAAACUCUGUUAUUAGGGAAGAACAAAUGUGUAAGUAACUAUGCACGUCUUGACGGUACCUAAUCAGAAAGCCACGGCUAACUACGUG
Molecule: ribosomal RNA, 497 nt
Filed under: uncultured bacterium
Lineage: Bacteria
Description: partial 16S ribosomal RNA
Rfam family: Bacterial small subunit ribosomal RNA
Source: RNAcentral